Long non-coding RNA from Morus notabilis, 1729 nucleotides. RefSeq lists it as uncharacterized. The record is from RefSeq and is a predicted model, not a curated record. The transcript has 6 exons. NCBI's taxonomy places the organism in Eukaryota, Viridiplantae, Streptophyta, Magnoliopsida, Rosales, Moraceae.
AACCAUUACAAAAAAAUUGAACUUUAACGUCUCUAAUUAGAUGACAAUUUUAUAAGAACCCAUCAUCUAAUGUGCUAGUCUAAAUCUCGAGCUAGUUGACAAAAUAUUAUACGAUAAUUUCUUAUAAAAUUGUCGUAUAAUAUUUUAUAUUACACAAAACCGUCAUCUAAUGUGAGCGCAGAAACUCAAAAAUGAAAUUUAAUCUCGAAUCUGUCAUCAUUUCGAGAGAAACCCUUUGCUCAUCUCUCUCUCUCUUCUUAUGAACCAUAUCGCCGCCACACAUCGCCCAAAAAUCACUCUCUGUCUCACUCGACGCCGCCACCGCCAUUCUCUCUCUCCGUCUAUCUCCACCAGUGUCGUCGUCGGCCGCCAUUGUCGUAGCUGACCCGCCACCAGCAGCCUCCGCCGUCGCCAAACUGCCAGCAGCUGCCACCGCCGCGCCAAACUGCCACCAGCAUCCUCUGUCUUCAUUUUGGAGAGUGUCCUAUGACGUUGGAGUUUCAUGUCCUUGAUGCUCACGUCCUACAUUCCAGGCUAAGCGCAGCUGGAUAAAGAGCAGCGGACAAACGCCAUUUGUACAUUUUUGUUACAAUCACAUGCCCGGCGCACUUUGCUCGUGCCAUACAAUGGAGGAGGACAUUGGAUGUUGGCCGUGAUAUCUUUCACAGAAGAUAAGGUCGUGUGGUUGGAUCUUCUCGUGACGAAAGUACGCGUAGACUUCAGAAGAAUGGUUGCCCUUGCAUUACGUGGUUGGAAGGCGCAAACAAGGCUUGAGUUUGAACGCUAUGUUGAUGGGUUCACAAAAUUUCUCAUACCAAAACCGAGCUCUUCUUCCUCCUUCCCUUCCGUUCUUCAGUCGAGAUCUUCUUCCCGGCCGAGCCCCGGCGUUCUUCUCGCACAAGAGUCACGCCGUUUGCUUUUCACCGGAGCACCUCCGUUCGCCUGAGCUCAUCCGGUCUCUUGUUGCCCAAUCUGCGCCGUUCUCUGUUUUCUCACCGAGAACUGAUAUACGAAGAGUUAAAGACUGGGAUUCAAACAUCCACUAUGGACAGAAAAACGUGGAUGAAAAUUGCUAUUGAAAUAGCAAUUAAGUUUGGUAAGCAUUUCACAGCAGACUAGCUUAAAGCAAAGUGGAAAGCACGAGGGAGUUUAAGGCAUUAAUUGAAACAACAGGAUUUGGUUGGAAUUCUGAGACUAACACUGUCACAGCUGAAAAAGAAGUGUGAGAUUCAUAUGUGGCGAUUUUUUUUGGGACUAUUGCUACUGGACAGGGGUCAAUGAAUGCACAUACUGCCGUCAAUGUUUUGAAUGCGGCGAAAAGGGCGGCCACAAUACCGGAAGAGGUGGAGGAGGGUACAGGAGACUCGGAUGAAGUCCGGAGUGCAGAAGACAAUAGAAACAGACGGUCUUAGGGUCCUACUACUUGAUCCAAGAAGAAGGGCAAGAACAUCAGUGCAGUUGACACGGCCAUAGAGGCUUUGGCAAAGAGUGCUACCCUACGUAGUGAGACAUCUGUUCAAAAGGUUGAUUUGUUUCAGCAAUUUUUAGCUGAUAGGCAAGCCCGUACUAUGGCAUUAGUUGAGGCUCAGAAAGAGGAUCUAACUACAACUAUUGAAGCCUGUAUGGAUUUGCUGAAUGGGUAUGAGCCGUAUUUAGAGGACAAUGCGUAUAAUAAGGCAGCGCACCAGUUGGCUCUUGACAUUUCCCUUAGGAGGAUGUUUGUGAAAAU